Molecule: ribosomal RNA, 274 nt
Filed under: uncultured bacterium
Lineage: Bacteria
Description: partial 16S ribosomal RNA
Rfam family: Archaeal small subunit ribosomal RNA
Source: RNAcentral
AAACCAGCACCUCAAGUGGUCAGGAUGAUUAUUGGGCCUAAAGCAUCCGUAGCCGGCUCUGUAAGUUUCCGGUUAAAUUCAUUAGCUCAACUAAUGGCCUGCCGGAAAUACUGCAGAGCUAGGAAGUGGGAGAGGUAGACGGUACUCGGUAGGAAGGGGUAAAAUCCUUUGAUCUAUUGAUGACCACCUGUGGCGAAGGCGGUCUACCAGAACACGUUCGACGGUGAGGGAUGAAAGCUCGGGGAGCAAACAGGAUUAGAUACCCCGGUAGUCC